UUAUUAUUGAGUUUGAUCCUGGCUCAGGGUGAACGCUAGAAGUAUACUUAACACAUGCGAGUCGAACGAAAAAAGAUUCAUCUUUUUUAGUGGCGUACGGGUGAGUAAUACAUAGGAACUUACCUUUUUGUUCAGUUUAAAAUCCUGAAUUUGAAAGAAAUAAUUUCGCAAAAAGAUAGGCCUAUGGAAGAUUAGGUAGUUGGUAGGGUAAUUGCUUACCAAGCCUCUGAUCUUUAGCUGUACUGAGAGGUUGGUCAGCCACACUGGGACUGAGACAAGGCCCAGGCUUCCUUCGAAGCCAGCAGUGAGGAAUUUUGGACAAUGAGCGGAAGCUUGAUCCAGUAAUACUUCAUGAGUGAAGACAGCUUUCAAGUUGUAAAGCUCUUUGGUCGGUGAGGAUUAUGACAGUAAUUGACUGAAUAGCCCCGGCUAACUUCGUGCCAGCAGCCGCGGUAAGACGAAGGGGGCGAGCGUUACCCGGAAUGACUGGGCGUAAAGGGUCCGUAGGUAGUAUUUUUUGUUAAAGGUGAAAGAUGAAAGCUUAACUUUUUUUAAGCCUUUAAAACGUUUAUACUUUGAGUUUGAAGGAGGAUAGCAGAAUUUCACAUGGAGGGGUGAUAUCCUUAGAGAUGUGAAGGAAUACCAGAGGCGAAGGCGGCUAUCUAGUUCAAUACUGACACUGAGGGACGAAAGCAUGGGGAGCAAACAGGAUUAGAUACCCUGGUAGUCCAUGCCCUAAAAUAUGAGUGCUUGUGCUGAGAGUUUUUUUUGGCACUAAGCUAACGCUUUAAGCACUCCGCCUGGGGAGUACGACCGCAAGGUUGGAACUCAAAGGAAUUGACGGGGGCCUAUACAAGUGGUGGAGCAUGUGGUUUAAUGCGAUAAUACGCGCGGAACCUUACCAGCUCUUGACAUUAAGGGUUGAAUUUUGGAAACAUUACAUUAUUUUUUCCUUAACAGGUGCUGCAUGGCUGUCGUCAGCUCGUGUCGUGAGAUGUUAGGUUAACUCCUUUUUAACGGGCGAAACCCCUGUUUUUAGUUGCUAUUUUUUCAAUGUGAAAAAAGAACUUUAAAAAUACUGCUCUUUUUCUUUGGAACUCGAGAGGAAGGUGGGGAUGACGUCAAGUCCUUAUGGCCCUUAUGAGCUGGGCUACACACGUGCUACAAUGGUAAUUACAAAAAGAGGCAAUAAGGAAACUUGGAGCAAAUCUUUAAAGAUUACCUUAGUUCAGAUUGUGGGCUGAAAUUCGCCCACAUGAAGUUGGAAUCACUAGUAAUCGCAAAUCAGAAUGUUGCGGUGAAUUUGUACCUAGGCCUUGUACACACCGCCCGUCACGUGCCGGGAGUUGGCUUGGCUAGAAAGCUAUACCUUUAUCAUGAAAAAAAAGUGUUUUCUCCUUUAAGGUUAGAGAAUUUUUUUGGGUGUGAGAAGGGUAGAUUACGGAUGAGUCGAUAACUGGGAUGAAGUCGUAACAAGGUAGUCGUACGGGAACGUGCGGCUGGAAUUUGAAUGCA
RNAcentral lists this ribosomal RNA (1515 nucleotides) under Trachydiscus minutus. RNAcentral describes it as "small subunit ribosomal RNA". It matches the Rfam family "Bacterial small subunit ribosomal RNA". The record is from RNAcentral. Lineage: Eukaryota; Eustigmatophyceae; Goniochloridales; Goniochloridaceae.